AUGGGUCUUUUUACUUGGAGCUCGGCCGGUCGGCACCAAGCGGAGCAGGUGAAGUCUGGAUGGAAGCAACAGAUCAAGGUGAUUGUAAAUGAGGUGAUUUUCACCGUUUCACUUGGCACCAAUGGUGAGCCUGUCCCUCUUUAUGUCCUAGCAGCCGCUCAGAACAUUCACGAGGCAGUUCGAGAAGCUGUGAGGGCAAUGCGCGUUCUGCCCACUUUCAACGGCUCGCCAACCUCCACCCAUCACUGUCAGACUCUGGCGUCACAGCGCUGCCGACCCAAACACAAGGACAAGCCGGUAAAUGUGAGAUCACCGGGUCCACGUGGGACUCCGCCCACCAGGAAACCAGAAAGUCCAACUCGCAGGGAGUCCCACAAACCAGAAUCUGCCCUGAGGCCUAUUUUGCACUUCAGCCCUCCUAAGUCCCAUCCAAUCACCAUGGAAUCAAAACCAGAACAUCAUCCCAGUGGGAUGGAGGACUGGGAACCUGAGGAAGAAGAACAGGGCCUUGGAUACGUGAUGAUGUCACCACAGGCGAGCCAGCCUCCAGAUGAUUAUGUCGUCAUGGUGAGCCCACACAAACACGAUUGGCCAGCCUGCUCGACUCUUCAGACAUCGAUCAACAGCUCCACCUCCGUGUGCUUUGCUCCCCUUUUCCCAUCACAACCUCAGACAGAAGAGCACAUUCAACCAUGCAGACUGACAUCCAUGUCGAGCCAGCAGUCCGAAGCAGGAACCAGCCAAUCGCAGCUGAGCGUGGGCUGCGGGGAGCAGAGAAGACCUCCAAGACAGACCUGGACCACAUCAACCCCUGUGAGAACCAUCCAUGGUCACGUGAUCGGUUCUCCUGUCAUGAGGCGGCAGGGAGGGUCCAGUUCAGACUGGAGUCCAGUUGGACCGCCCGUCAGGAGGAGCCUACUGUCAUCAUGUCUGCUUUCGUGUCUUCAAGACAACACAUGCUGAGAGCUGGUUUACGUCACUAAUCUGGUGCAGGAGAUGAUAUAAUCCAACAAAAACGGGGCAGAAUUUACGGAAGCUUUCACAUCUCCCAGAUUUUGUAUUGUGGAUUUAAUCAAGACUCUGUUAUGAAGACUUUGAUCUAAAACUCCACAGCACUUAAAGAAAAAUAAUAAAGUCAAAUGAAUGCAUCAUUUUCUGCAUACUUGAACAGGAAACCAUUCGAAGUUGCAGUUGAAGAAGCCUUUCCCUGGCUGCAAUGAAACAAUAGCGCCCUCUACCGCCUGUAGUGUUAAGCGUCACACGUUAACCUGGUUGUUUGCAGACUUGACCUUGACCCAAUUUAUUGUUUAGGAUUUGGCACAAUGAUAAAAUCGCUUCAUGAGUGUUUUUAUAUGGAAAUUACACAAACGGUGCUGGCAAGGUUUCCAUUUCUGCAUCGAAUGUUUGGGUCAUAAACAGCUGUCAGAGUUGAUUCACAGUAAAUAAAUCAGUGAAUUCUAAUCUCUAGCACUCAGGAAACCAUUGACUAAAUAAUUACACAAUGGAUUAUAUCAUUUUAUUAUUUGUGAAUGUUUUGGAUAGUAACGUGUUGAACCAAAAGCAUAAUUGUUAAAUGAGAUAUGCAGCCGAUGUGUUGGCAGCAACAAAUGGCACUGCCUUCCUCGAAGUGAAAGUAAACACAAAUCAGGAUUGGGAAGGGAGAGUCAAGCUAAGCUCAUUCUGUGCCAGUACCGCCCGAAUGUUCGAAACCUCAGCAUAAACCAGCUCUUCAUUAUUUUUAUUUAUUUGUUUAUUUAAUUUAUUUUAAGUUACACUUAACUUUAGCACUAUCAUUUUGGCCUGAGGCUGUCCAAAAACUUGACGGUUGGAACGAAAGGCUACAGAAGCCAUUGCUCGUGUUUUGUUUAUUCUCUGUGGUUCCAACGUUGCGCAACCUUUGGAAUUAGGUUUCUCAGUGGAACUUUCCCAUCCUCCACCCUCCCCUACAGGUGCAUAUCAAGUGCUCAGCAAAGAUGUCCAGAUUUUGGAAGUGUGUUCACAGGCAUGACACGACUAUGAUUAACCUGCUGUUCAAUGGGAAUUCCCCUGGAGCUAUGCACAUGGUGUAACUUCAUGCAAGCCGUGCGUUCAGUGGGUAUUAGAAGAAAUUGUGUAUUCACUUGCAUAGUGUUCCCAGUCUUGUGCUGGCCUGCACUCAUAUAGACAGGACCAACAACGUGAGAAGUCUGGAUUGUCUUGCAAGCGAUCGGGAUAAAAUAUAGAGCUCAUCUUUUUGUGUGUUUAUAGGAGAAAUUACUGAAAUGAAAUGCUUAAUGCUAUAUUUGUUAGAAAGAAAAUAGACUCGUGAUUGGAAUUCGCGUCCAUCAGCAAACAUAUUCAAAGUUUCGAAGUUUGUAAACAACACUGUAAUAGUCGCACUUCCGAAGAGUCGAUUCCAAGAAAACAUGAAGUCAGCCUAAUGGUUCCUUCAAACUCUUAGCAACUAUUGUAAAAUGGAAUUAUCCCGCUCUGAAUACUUGCUUGCUCUGGAUAAAGGUGUUCUCUGUAAACAGUACAACCGUCAUAAACUGUGCUUAUUUUAAGGGGGAAAAUUCAUGUUGGAAUAUAUGUUACCAAAAACAACGGAUGAGACCUAAGAGGUCAAUUAUUUAUUGUUGUGCGAGUUUGUCCGAUUGUUCGUGAACCUACCACCCAGCUGAGGCGUCGGACACACAUGCGCAUGCGCGGUCGCAGUGUUUGCGUUCCUCCUCCCUCCUCUGAGACUGACAGCCCGUUAGCUGCUCCUGCUCACCGGCAAUGAUACAGCAAACACGGACUCCAUAAGAGACACCGGGAUGGAAUUAUCGAGCGCCUUUUACCACCACAAAGACUGCUAUUGUUCAGAUUCCAGUUCUCAUUGUGAAUGCUUGGAGUUAAUUCUUCGUUAGGUUCAUUUUUGGUGCGUUUAAAAAGACACUCGUCGUCCGGGAAAAGAUGCGACGAAUGAUUUCCUGCGACAUUCACCGGCCAGCUAAGGAGCCUCCACAUUCACUCUAAACACCGACGCUGCUUUGGACUUGACCAUCUUAUUAAUGCUUUUGUGACACUAACGCUUGAAAAAAUAAACUCGAUCGCGAAAAGAAAUGUAGAAGACUGCAGCGACCAGCGCUACUGGCGAGCCAACACAGUUUAAGCUAACUGUCAGCUUGUUAAAUUUCUUUUUGUUGUUUAUCUUUUUUUUUUUAUUGCUCUUUGCAUCAACCUUUUACGUCUUUAUAGAGUUUGGAGUGAUUGGUGUGUCAAAGAGAACGAGGCUGCUUGCAGUCUGUCGAGUUCGAGCCCAGAACGCUGAACUUGAUUUGUAGAGGACAUAAAUCAUCUGACUUCUCACUUAUGGCUCUUUAGUAUCGCGGCGCUGCAGCUGACCCAGCUAGCUAGCAUCUCUGUUAGCUAGUAGCAGUUGCGCAAAGAGCUGUCCUCUUUUA
This 3425-nucleotide long non-coding RNA is filed under the name Takifugu rubripes (torafugu). RNAcentral describes it as "lncRNA (ENSTRUG00000032779.1)". Lineage: Eukaryota; Metazoa; Chordata; Actinopteri; Tetraodontiformes; Tetraodontidae. The record is from RNAcentral.